This 297-nucleotide ribosomal RNA is filed under the name uncultured bacterium. RNAcentral describes it as "partial 16S ribosomal RNA". It matches the Rfam family "Bacterial small subunit ribosomal RNA", at positions 475 to 776 of the family's 1533-position model. The record is from RNAcentral.
CUAUGCGCCUUGCCAGCCCGCUCAGGUGUGCCAGCAGCCGCGGUAAUACGGAGGAUGCGAGCGUUAUCCGGAUUUAUUGGUUUAAAGGGUGCGUAGGCGGUCCGUUAAGUCAGCGGUAAAAUUGCGGGGCUCAACCCCGUCGAGCCGUUGAAACUGGCAGACUUGAGUUGGCGAGAAGUACGCGGAAUGCGCGGUGUAGCGGUGAAAUGCAUAGAUAUCACGCAGAACUCCGAUUGCGAAGGCAGCAUACCGGCGCCCGACUGACGCUGAGGCACGAAAGCGUGGGGAUCGAACAGG